This 445-nucleotide ribosomal RNA is filed under the name uncultured bacterium. RNAcentral describes it as "partial 16S ribosomal RNA". It matches the Rfam family "Bacterial small subunit ribosomal RNA", at positions 354 to 796 of the family's 1533-position model. The record is from RNAcentral.
GUAAGGAAUAUUGGUCAAUGGGCGGAAGCCUGAACCAGCCAUGCCGCGUGCAGGAAGACGGCCCUAUGGGUUGUAAACUGCUUUUAUACGGGAGCAAUAAGGUCUAUGCAUAGAUUGAUGAGAGUACCGUAUGAAUAAGCAUCGGCUAACUCCGUGCCAGCAGCCGCGGUAAUACGGAGGAUGCGAGCGUUAUCCGGAUUUAUUGGGUUUAAAGGGUGCGUAGGCGGCUUUGUAAGUCAGCGGUGAAAUUUUGCAGCUUAACUGUAAAAGCGCCGUUGAUACUGUGAAGCUAGGAUUUGGUUGCUGUGGGCGGAAUGUGUGGUGUAGCGGUGAAAUGCAUAGAGAUCACACAGAAUAUCGAUUGCGAAGGCAGCUCACAAAGCCAAUAUUGACGCUGAGGCACGAAAGUGUGGGGAUCAAACAGGAUUAGAAACCCUUGUAGUCC